CCUACGGGAGGCAGCAGUGGGGAAUAUUGCACAAUGGGGGAAACCCUGAUGCAGCGACGCCGCGUGAGUGAAGAAGUAAUUCGUUAUGUAAAGCUCUAUCAGCAGGGAAGAAAAUGACGGUACCUGAGUAAGAAGCCCCGGCUAACUACGUGCCAGCAGCCGCGGUAAUACGUAGGGGGCAAGCGUUAUCCGGAUUUACUGGGUGGAAAGGGAGCGUAGACGGCAGUGCAAGUCUGGAGUGAAAGGCGGGGGCUCAACCCCCGGACUGCUCUGGAAACUGUACGGCUGGAGUGCAGGAGAGGUAAGUGGAAUUCCGGGUGUAGCGGUGAAAUGCGUAGAUAUUAGGAGGAACACCAGUGGCGAAGGCGGCUUACUGGACUGUAACUGACGUUGAGGCUCGAAAGCGUGGGGAGCAAACAGGAUUAGAUACCCUGGUAGUC
Molecule: ribosomal RNA, 440 nt
Filed under: uncultured bacterium
Lineage: Bacteria
Description: partial 16S ribosomal RNA
Rfam family: Bacterial small subunit ribosomal RNA
Source: RNAcentral